CAGAGGUCCCAAGCGUUGUUCGGAUUCACUGGGCGUAAAGGGUGCGUAGGUGGUAGGGUAAGUCGGAUGUGAAAUCUCCGAGCUCAACUCGGAAAUGGCAUUGGAAACUACCUGCUAGAGGGUCGGAGGGGGGGACUGGAAUACUUGGUGUAGCAGUGAAAUGCGUAGAUAUCAAGUGGAACACCAGAGGCGAAGGCGAGUCCCUGGACGACUCCUGACACUGAGGCACGAAAGCUAGGGGAGCAAACAGGAUUAGAUACCCUGGUAGUCCUAGCCGUAAACGGUGCACGUUUGCUGUAAAAGGAAUCGACCCCUUUUGUGGCGUAGCCAACGCGUUAAACGUGCCGCCUGGGAAGUACGGUCGCAAGAUUA
Molecule: ribosomal RNA, 372 nt
Filed under: uncultured organism
Description: bacterial SSU rRNA
Rfam family: Bacterial small subunit ribosomal RNA
Source: RNAcentral